This 76-nucleotide transfer RNA is filed under the name Terriglobia bacterium. Its description in RNAcentral is "tRNA-Trp". It matches the Rfam family "tRNA". From Rfam's summary of the family: Transfer RNA (tRNA) molecules are approximately 80 nucleotides in length. The record is from RNAcentral. Lineage: Bacteria; Pseudomonadati; Acidobacteriota; Terriglobia.
GCGCCGAUAGCUCAACUGGCAGAGCGGCGGUCUCCAAAACCGCAGGUUGGGGGUUCGAAACCCUCUCGGCGUGCCA